CUUUGUGUUUGGAUGCUUAUACUAGCCCCUAGUUAGCCCAUAGCUAACUAGCUAACAAAUGAUGUCCAGUAAACCAGCAAAUCCAGCAAUAAUAAUGGCCAGCAACACAGCAAAUGUCAGAACAUUGGCAUGGUCCCAGCAGAGCUGCUUCGUUCCCCCAACAUAUCAUAGUGACCGGAACUGUAACAUCGGGUCAAAGGGAGCCAAGAAAGUUAUAUUCAUACAUCUCAAUUUGGGACAGAAUGGAAAGAUUAAUUGCAAUUUUCCACACUGGAAGAAUGGAAAGCGAGGCGGUCGAGCUGGGGAAACUGAAAAGGACCUUCAUUAACCAAAGCCAUCAUCUGGACUGACCAUGGAGUUGCAUUUAAAGAAAAAUAGUUUGUUUUGACGUGAAAUGCUCCAUUCUAGAGAAAGCUGUCAAAUCAGAUUAAAGUUUAUUGCCUCUAAAAGCUCUAUUAGAGAAAAUUAUAGAAAUAUAUGCUAGAAAUAUGCUGCUUGAUGUCUGAUGCAUUGUUUUUAUGAAAGAUCUGUGCUAAAGUUUUAGCAUAAAAGGUAUUUUAAGUCGUUUUUUGAAUGCAUCAGUAGUGAAAAAAUACACCAACGAGUGGAAGUACUAAG
Molecule: long non-coding RNA, 618 nt
Filed under: Astyanax mexicanus (Mexican tetra)
Lineage: Eukaryota; Metazoa; Chordata; Actinopteri; Characiformes; Acestrorhamphidae
Description: lncRNA (ENSAMXG00005021431.1)
Source: RNAcentral